Molecule: ribosomal RNA, 245 nt
Filed under: uncultured Pseudomonas sp.
Lineage: Bacteria; Pseudomonadati; Pseudomonadota; Gammaproteobacteria; Pseudomonadales; Pseudomonadaceae
Description: partial 16S ribosomal RNA
Rfam family: Bacterial small subunit ribosomal RNA
Source: RNAcentral
AGUAAUGCCUAGGAAUCUGCCUGGUAGUGGGGGACGAACGUUUCGAAAGGAACGCUAAUACCGCAUACGUCCUACGGGAGAAAGCAGGGACCUUCGGGCCUUGCGCUAUCAGAUGAGCCUAGGUCGGAUUAGCUAGUUGGUGAGGUAAUGGCUCACCAAGGCGACGAUCCGUAACUGGUCUGAGAGGAUGAUCAGUCACACUGGAACUGAGACACGGUCCAGACUCCUACGGGAGGCAGCAGUAC